UGAUUGUCCUGCAGUGCUGGAGAGCCAAGACAUGGGGACGGGGAUCUGCUACCGCUGUGGAUCCAAGGAGCACGACAUCAGCAAAUGCAGAGCCAAGGUGGAUCCAGCUGCUGGGCCAUUUCCUUAUGCAAAAUGUUUCAUCUGUGGUGAGAUGGGGCAUCUGUCAAGGUCCUGUCCAGAUAANNNNNNNNNNNNNNNNNNNNGUGUUCUUCUUACCUGGUACAGAAAAAAGUAACACUGCAGGUGAAUGAGAAUGUGGCUAAAAGGAAUUCCCGUGUAUCUUUCAGUGAAAGCAGAGUAAUUCUGGGGAAUUCAUUGUCAAAUAAUUACCUAGGGAUUUCUGUUUUAAGUGCAGGCUUAUAUUAAAUGUCUGGAUGAGGUGCAAAGUGUGAGACUUUGCACGUGCCUCAGUAUCAGGAAAUGCACAAAGGAACACAAUCCUGUGUGAAUGUAGGCAGUGUGUAUUUAGGUGCACCCGAGGAGGUGGUAAGAACGUUCUCACACAGUAGCUGAAGAUUCUGGGAGGUUGUACUGAAGGGAGAGUAUCUCCAGUCUGAGUAACUUUAGUGAGAAAUGGGGUCUCACAUGGAAGGUUUCACUGCUCUGUUGGCUCCAACAACCAGUAUUCUGUCUCCUGGUGUUUCCCAGCACAAAGUGGGGUCUUGGCAAACUCCGGGAGGUGAUCUUGCAGCCCAGUUCAAGUGUAACAAAAAUCACCUUGCUGCCAAGUGUUUGUAUUGUGGAAUUUUGUGGUGUAUAGAAUUUCACAUCGCAGUACCUGCAGUUGGAUCACCUCCCUCAGGAGCCCCUGUCAAUUUUUAAAGUUCCUUUGAGUAUGGAUUUCUGCAGAAUUCAGCCCGUUUCUCAAAGAGAGAGCUUCCAGCAAAUCAGAAAUACCCAGUGGCUGGAAUCUGUGGUGUGUGAUGCUGUACUGAACAGUGUGACUCCAAACAGCUCUAUUCCUCACAGACAUGGGAAGGGUAUUUUCCUGGGUGUUUUGUGGUGGUUUUUCCCCCCUCAGAUGAGUAACAACUUUGUGUGUGAACAGGUGGGGGCUGCAAACUUUGUGGUUCUGUGGAGCACUUCAAGAAGGACUGCCCGGAGAAGCAGAACACAGAGCAGGUGACAGUCGGGCGCUGGACCCCCGGCCUGAGCGCGGACCACGAGGACGUCGCGGCCGCGCCGGCGCCGCAGAGAGCGCAGCCCAAGCGACCCAAAGUUGUCACUUUCUGAAGGACUCCUGGCUCUCCAUCAGCUCUCCUGCACUGCUGCACUCCAGAGUGGUGACGACAGAGAGCAGAUCCAGAAGAACAAGCAGGCUGCAGAGGACUUGCUGGGUGUUUUCCUCCCCUCAUUUUCCCCCUUUGCCUCCCAAACUUGCCUGUCUCACUUUGAAGCUGGGAACAACAGGAACACAGCAAGUGGCUAUUUUGUUAAAGCAUUUGUGGGUGUGUUUUAAAGGUUCAUGAUGGAUUCUGGUUUGGAUUUGCCUUUUCCUUUUAGGGAUAAUGAACUCCCUCUUGUGUAUGUUCCAGCUUGAGCAGCCUUGUGCUGAAGUUACAGAUCAGCCCUGUGGAGCUCGGGGUGCAGUUCCUGACGGCAGUACGUGUUACUGUCAGCCAUCCAUUGGUCAUGCACACGGGGUCAUUUGAGUCUGCUCACUAACAGAAUCAAGCCCUUCCUCUGAAACCUGUGGUGAAACACACCCCUAAAGAAUUGGAGAGCAAGUGAUGAGCUUUCUUAGGUUAUUUACUUCUUUUUCAAAGAAAAUGCUCAAAAAUCUGCAGUUUCUAUGCCUUGGUGAGCUGGGAGUAAACUUUUCUUUGUAGUGCGCCUGCCUGCUUCAUGGCAGAUUUACUGUUUUUAAAUAGAGACUGCAGCCUUAUAAAAACUAAUGGAUAUUAGAAGGAAACAUAAGGAAACCAACUCCAAACAGGGUUCCUGCAGCGUUACUGAGAAGUGCAUCCUGAGCUCCCCCCACACACUUUUUUUGCAGCAAAAAACAAACAUGGGGAAUGAAAUUGUGUGGAGAUAUUUUAUAUUUGUACAGGUAAUUGUUUUUAAUAAAAUGCUGCUAAAGAAUUUCA
Molecule: long non-coding RNA, 2087 nt
Organism: Cyanistes caeruleus (blue tit)
Lineage: Eukaryota; Metazoa; Chordata; Aves; Passeriformes; Paridae
Source: Ensembl